Molecule: ribosomal RNA, 253 nt
Filed under: uncultured prokaryote
Description: partial 16S ribosomal RNA
Rfam family: Bacterial small subunit ribosomal RNA
Source: RNAcentral
AUACGUAGGGGGCAAGCGUUGUCCGGAAUCAUUGGGCGUAAAGCGCGUGUAGGCGGCUAGGUAAGUCUGCUCUGAAAGCCCGGGGCUCAACCCCGGGAGGCGGGUGGAUACUGUCUAGCUCGAGUCCGGAAGAGGAGUGUGGAAUUCCUGGUGUAGCGGUGAAAUGCGCAGAUAUCAGGAGGAACACCAAUGGCGAAGGCAGCACUCUGGGACGUGACUGACGCUGAGACGCGAAAGCGUGGGGAGAAAACAG